UUUAGACUCUCAAGAAAGGUAGACCUACCACACAUUUAGACUCUCAAGAAAGGUAGACCUACCACACGUUUAGACUCUCAAGAAAGGUAGACCUACCACACAUUUAGACUCUCAAGAAAGGUAGACCUACCACACAUUUAGACUCUCAAGAAAGGUAGACCUGCCACACAUUUAGACUCUCAAGAAAGGUAGACCUGCCACACAUUUAGACUCUCAAGAAAGGUAGACCUACCACACAUUUAGACUCUCAAGAAAGGUAGACCUACCACACAUUUAGACUCUCAAGAAAGGUAGACCUGCCACACAUUUAGACUCUCAAGAAAGGUAGACCUGCCACACAUUUUAGACUCUCCACAAUGCUAGGGCUACCAAACAUUUUAACUCCAUAAAGCUAGGCCUACAACACAUUUUAACUCCAUAAAGCUAGGCCUACAACACAUUUUAACUCCAUAAAGCUAGGCCAACAAAAAGUUUUAACUCCAUAAAGCUAGACAUACAACACAUUUUAACUCCAUAAAGCUAGGCCUACAACACAUUUUAACUCCAUAAAGCUAGGCCAAAAAAACUUUUUAACUCCAUAAAGCUAGACAUACAACACAUUUGAACUCCAUAAAGCUAGACCUACAACACAUUUU
Long non-coding RNA from Gadus morhua (Atlantic cod), 635 nucleotides. RefSeq lists it as uncharacterized. NCBI's taxonomy places the organism in Eukaryota, Metazoa, Chordata, Actinopteri, Gadiformes, Gadidae. The transcript is spliced from 2 exons. The record is from RefSeq and is a predicted model, not a curated record.